UGGCACGUAAUGCAGUUGUGUGAGCACACAUUUUCCACUUCUGGAUCAAGAAGGCAUGCAAAAAGAUGUUCUUCAUCUUCAUUUCCAUAACUAGGGUCAGUGCUUCUUAGUAUUUGGGUUAAGAUUUUCAGGUGAUAAGGUAGCCCUGUGCUCUUUGUGACUGUUUAUGUUCUGCAACUGGCAUGCAUGGCAUGAACAAACAAUUCACACAACGAAAGUACUCCAAACUGCCCACCACUGCUUUCCCCUCUAAUAAGAACUUUUCUGCGUAAGAUGCAGACCAUGCUACAGCUCUGCAGCUGAACUCAGUGUAUUCACAUGCAACAGUCAUGGAAGAAGCUGAGUUCUAUAGUUUUAAAGAACAAAUGCACUUUAAUUUUUAUUCAGGCCUGCCUGCAAUUAAGCUGAAGGGUUUGCAUGUCUGCUAGUCUACAUGUGGGUAGAAAGGCAGUGAGGUUAAGAUAAUAGGCUUAAAAUGUAUUCUCAGAAAACAUUUAAAACCACAGUAGGGUGUGAUUGUAUGCAAAUAAGUAUUUUUGCAAUAGCAGAUUAAGCACCUUAUGGAAUUUGUAUGGAAAGCUGCAUGCUUGUACAUGAUGCAAAGUAUGAUUAAGCACCGGUGUGUGUGGAGUUUUUGCCUUCGGUAAAAAAAAAAAUUAAGGCAGAUUUAAAUCAAUCAUUGGCUUUCUCAGUCUUUACACAGCGUAAGCUGUAAGUUAUGAAUGGUGAUUAUAAGAGAGAAAAUGUUAAAAAUAACAUUUCUUUUUCCCCCCUGGGUCUGCAUCCUUAAAGCGUAUGUCCUGCUGUGGUUGCUAGGCCAGAAAAAGCAUUGCACUUGCAGAAGGUCUCUGCUGUAGGAUGGCAACGCAGAGGAUCUGCAACAGGGAGAAAAGAAAACUGGUGAACGAUGUCUUCCUAAUACAGCUAUUCUGGAAAAUGUGUGCAGAGGAGCCUGGAGGAUGGAGACCACGGAAUUCUUCUCAGGAUGGCCUGGCUCAGGUCUUUGUUUUCUACUGUUUGACGAGAGUGAUAAAGGAGCUGUAGCACAGAAAUGGGGAGGAAGGAGGAACUUAUGAAGGGCAGCUCUUCGGGAAAAUAUACAAAAUACACUGCAAGAAAAUGCAAAGUCCAUGUGAGGGCACACAGCGGCAACGGCUGGGUGGCAAAUGGAAAAAACUGUUUCUUUAAACUUACACAGAGGUGGCUACCAGGCUUCUGAGAGCUUUAGCUUAAUCCUUGUGAAGGAAUGCUGUAAAGUCUGCCUAUCGUGACAUAUAAAACAUUACAGAAGUAAGUGGC
Molecule: long non-coding RNA, 1299 nt
Filed under: Gallus gallus (chicken)
Lineage: Eukaryota; Metazoa; Chordata; Aves; Galliformes; Phasianidae
Description: lncRNA (ENSGALG00010014727.1)
Source: RNAcentral